RNAcentral lists this ribosomal RNA (1438 nucleotides) under uncultured organism. Its description in RNAcentral is "16S ribosomal RNA". It matches the Rfam family "Bacterial small subunit ribosomal RNA". The record is from RNAcentral.
GCUUAACACAUGCAAGUCGAGGGGCAGCAUUUUAGUUUGCUUGCAAACUGAAGAUGGCGACCGGCGCACGGGUGAGUAACACGUAUCCAACCUGCCGAUAACUCCGGGAUAGCCUUUCGAAAGAAAGAUUAAUACCGGAUAGCAUACGAAUAUCGCAUGAUAUUUUUAUUAAAGAAUUUCGGUUAUCGAUGGGGAUGCGUUCCAUUAGUUUGUUGGCGGGGUAACGGCCCACCAAGACUACGAUGGAUAGGGGUUCUGAGAGGAAGGUCCCCCACAUUGGAACUGAGACACGGUCCAAACUCCUACGGGAGGCAGCAGUGAGGAAUAUUGGUCAAUGGGCGCGAGCCUGAACCAGCCAAGUAGCGUGAAGGAUGAAGGCUCUAUGGGUCGUAAACUUCUUUUAUAUGGGAAUAAAGUUUUCCACGUGUGGAAUUUUGUAUGUACCAUAUGAAUAAGGAUCGGCUAACUCCGUGCCAGCAGCCGCGGUAAUACGGAGGAUCCGAGCGUUAUCCGGAUUUAUUGGGUUUAAAGGGAGCGUAGGUGGAUUGUUAAGUCAGUUGUGAAAGUUUGCGGCUCAACCGUAAAAUUGCAGUUGAAACUGGCAGUCUUGAGUACAGUAGAGGUGGGCGGAAUUCGUGGUGUAGCGGUGAAAUGCUUAGAUAUCACGAAGAACUCCGAUUGCGAAGGCAGCUCACUAGACUGUCACUGACACUGAUGCUCGAAAGUGUGGGUAUCAAACAGGAUUAGAUACCCUGGUAGUCCACACAGUAAACGAUGAAUACUCGCUGUUUGCGAUAUACAGUAAGCGGCCAAGCGAAAGCAUUAAGUAUUCCACCUGGGGAGUACGCCGGCAACGGUGAAACUCAAAGGAAUUGACGGGGGCCCGCACAAGCGGAGGAACAUGUGGUUUAAUUCGAUGAUACGCGAGGAACCUUACCCGGGCUUAAAUUGCAACAGAAUAUAUUGGAAACAGUAUAGCCGUAAGGCUGUUGUGAAGGUGCUGCAUGGUUGUCGUCAGCUCGUGCCGUGAGGUGUCGGCUUAAGUGCCAUAACGAGCGCAACCCUUAUCUUUAGUUACUAACAGGUCAUGCUGAGGACUCUAGAGAGACUGCCGUCGUAAGAUGUGAGGAAGGUGGGGAUGACGUCAAAUCAGCACGGCCCUUACGUCCGGGGCUACACACGUGUUACAAUGGGGGGUACAGAAGGCGGCUACCUGGUGACAGGAUGCUAAUCCCAAAAACCUCUCUCAGUUCGGAUCGAAGUCUGCAACCCGACUUCGUGAAGCUGGAUUCGCUAGUAAUCGCGCAUCAGCCAUGGCGCGGUGAAUACGUUCCCGGGUCUUGUACACACCGCCCGUCAAGCCAUGAAAGCCGGGGGUACCUGAAGUACGUAACCGCAAGGAGCGUCCUAGGGUAAAACUGGUAAUUGGGGCUAAGUC